UACGUAGGGUGCAAGCGUUGUCCGGAAUUAUUGGGCGUAAAGAGCUUGUAGGCGGUUUGUCGCGUCUGCUGUGAAAUUUCGGGGCUCAACCCCGAACUUGCAGUGGGUACGGGCAGACUAGAGUGUGGUAGGGGAGACUGGAAUUCCUGGUGUAGCGGUGAAGUGCGCAGAUAUCAGGAGGAACACCGAUGGCGAAGGCAGGUCUCUGGGCCAUAACUGACGCUGAGAAGCGAAAGCAUGGGGAGCGAACAGG
Molecule: ribosomal RNA, 253 nt
Filed under: uncultured bacterium
Lineage: Bacteria
Description: partial 16S ribosomal RNA
Rfam family: Bacterial small subunit ribosomal RNA
Source: RNAcentral